Molecule: transfer RNA, 74 nt
Filed under: Bacteroidota bacterium
Lineage: Bacteria; Pseudomonadati; Bacteroidota
Also listed under: 1 other name
Description: Bacteroidetes bacterium tRNA-Arg
Rfam family: tRNA
About the family: Transfer RNA (tRNA) molecules are approximately 80 nucleotides in length. Their secondary structure includes four short double-helical elements and three loops (D, anti-codon, and T loops).
Source: RNAcentral
GCUUCCGUAGCUCAACUGGAUAGAGUGUAGGCCUCCGGAGCCUAAGGUUGUGGGUUCGACUCCCGCCGGGAGCA